AAGGUUUCUGCCUCGUGUACACGCGCCAAGGAAUGAGUCUGUUCUUGGUCAGUUUUUCCGACCGCAAUUUUUUUUUUUUACGACAUUCCUAGUGUACCGCACCUCUGCCUAGCCCAUUCCUAUCUUUUGGUUUGCAAUUUUAUUUUUAGGUAUUUGUCUUUUACCUACUGUUUCUUUUAAUAAGUUCUUUGAAUCAUGUCUGAUGCAAAAAAU
This 213-nucleotide unclassified non-coding RNA is filed under the name Hevea brasiliensis (rubber tree). The record is from RNAcentral. Lineage: Eukaryota; Viridiplantae; Streptophyta; Magnoliopsida; Malpighiales; Euphorbiaceae.